CCUUCGAUAGCUCAGUUGGUAAAGCGGAGGACUGUAGAUCCUUAGGUCGCUGGUUCGACUCCGGCUCGAAGGA
This 73-nucleotide transfer RNA is filed under the name Petromyzon marinus (sea lamprey). Its description in RNAcentral is "tRNA-Tyr (GTA) (tRNA-Tyr-GTA-14-1)". It matches the Rfam family "tRNA". From Rfam's summary of the family: Transfer RNA (tRNA) molecules are approximately 80 nucleotides in length. Their secondary structure includes four short double-helical elements and three loops (D, anti-codon, and T loops). The record is from RNAcentral. Lineage: Eukaryota; Metazoa; Chordata; Hyperoartia; Petromyzontiformes; Petromyzontidae.